GACGAACGCUGGCGGCGUGCUUAACACAUGCAAGUCGAACGGAAAGGCCCUGCUUUUGUGGGGUGCUCGAGUGGCGAACGGGUGAGUAACACGUGAGUAACCUGCCCUUGACUUUGGGAUAACUUCAGGAAACUGGGGCUAAUACCGGAUAGGAGCUCCUGCUGCAUGGUGGGGGUUGGAAAGUUUCGGCGGUUGGGGAUGGACUCGCGGCUUAUCAGCUUGUUGGUGGGGUAGUGGCUUACCAAGGCUUUGACGGGUAGCCGGCCUGAGAGGGUGACCGGCCACAUUGGGACUGAGAUACGGCCCAGACUCCUACGGGAGGCAGCAGUGGGGAAUAUUGCACAAUGGGCGGAAGCCUGAUGCAGCAACGCCGCGUGCGGGAUGACGGCCUUCGGGUUGUAACCCGCUUUCGCCUGUGACGAAGCGUGAGUGACGGUAAUGGGUAAAGAAGCACCGGCUAACUACGUGCCAGCAGCCGCGGUGAUACGUAGGGUGCGAGCGUUGUCCGGAUUUAUUGGGCGUAAAGGGCUCGUAGGUGGUUGAUCGCGUCGGAAGUGUAAUCUUGGGGCUUAACCCUGAGCGUGCUUUCGAUACGGGUUGACUUGAGGAAGGUAGGGGAGAAUGGAAUUCCUGGUGGAGCGGUGGAAUGCGCAGAUAUCAGGAGGAACACCAGUGGCGAAGGCGGUUCUCUGGGCCUUUCCUGACGCUGAGGAGCGAAAGCGUGGGGAGCGAACAGGCUUAGAUACCCUGGUAGUCCACGCUGUAAACGGUGGGUACUAGGUGUGGGGUCCAUUCCACGGGUUCCGUGCCGUAGCUAACGCCUUAAGUACCCCGCCUGGGGAGUACGGCCGCAAGGCUAAAACUCAAAGGAAUUGACGGGGCCCCGCACAAGCGGCGGAGCAUGCGGAUUAAUUCGAUGCAACGCGUAGAACCUUACCUGGGUUUGACAUGGAUCGGGAGUGCUCAGAGAUGGGUGUGCCUCUUUUGGGGUCGGUUCACAGGUGGUGCAUGGCUGUCGUCAGCUCGUGUCGUGAGAUGUUGGGUUAAGUCCCGCAACGAGCGCAACCCUUGUUCACUGUUGCCAGCACGUUAUGGUGGGGACUCAGUGGAGACCGCCGGGGUCAACUCGGAGGAAGGUGGGGAUGACGUCAAGUCAUCAUGCCCCUUAUGUCCAGGGCUUCACGCAUGCUACAAUGGCUGGUACAGAGAGUGGCGAGCCUGUGAGGGUGAGCGAAUCUCGGAAAGCCGGUCUCAGUUCGGAUUGGGGUCUGCAACUCGACCUCAUGAAGUCGGAGUCGCUAGUAAUCGCAGAUCAGCAACGCUGCGGUGAAUACGUUCCCGGGGCU
RNAcentral lists this ribosomal RNA (1346 nucleotides) under uncultured bacterium. RNAcentral's name for it is "partial 16S ribosomal RNA". It matches the Rfam family "Bacterial small subunit ribosomal RNA", at positions 28 to 1381 of the family's 1533-position model. The record is from RNAcentral.